GCCGGAUUAGCUCAACAGGCAGAGCACCUGUCUAGUAAACAGGCCGCGCGGGUUCGAGUCCUGCAUCCGGCUCCA
RNAcentral lists this transfer RNA (75 nucleotides) under Mycolicibacterium fortuitum. RNAcentral's name for it is "tRNA-Thr". It matches the Rfam family "tRNA". From Rfam's summary of the family: Transfer RNA (tRNA) molecules are approximately 80 nucleotides in length. Their secondary structure includes four short double-helical elements and three loops (D, anti-codon, and T loops). Lineage: Bacteria; Bacillati; Actinomycetota; Actinomycetes; Mycobacteriales; Mycobacteriaceae. RNAcentral also lists the same sequence under 3 other names. The record is from RNAcentral.